RNAcentral lists this ribosomal RNA (301 nucleotides) under uncultured bacterium. RNAcentral's name for it is "partial 16S ribosomal RNA". It matches the Rfam family "Bacterial small subunit ribosomal RNA", at positions 509 to 807 of the family's 1533-position model. The record is from RNAcentral.
CAGCCGCCACGGUAAUACGUAGGUGGCAAGCGUUGUCCGGAAUUAUUGGGCGUAAAGGGCUCGCAGGCGGUUUCUUAAGUCUGAUGUGAAAGCCCCCGGCUCAACCGGGGAGGGUCAUUGGAAACUGGGAAACUUGAGUGCAGAAGAGGAGAGUAGAAUUCCACGUGCAGCGGUGAAAUGCGUAGAGAUGUGGAGGAACACCAGUGGCGAAGGCGACUCUCUGGUCUGUAACUGACGCUGAGGCGCGACAGCGUGGGGAGCAAACAGGAUUAGAUACCCCGGUAGUCCCUGUCUCUUAUAC